Long non-coding RNA from Haemorhous mexicanus (house finch), 777 nucleotides. RefSeq lists it as uncharacterized. Lineage: Eukaryota; Metazoa; Chordata; Aves; Passeriformes; Fringillidae. The transcript is spliced from 4 exons. The record is from RefSeq and is a predicted model, not a curated record.
UCCCAAGAGCAGCUGGUGAGGAUGGCGCAGAGGCAAUGACAGGAGUGCAGUGAAAAGUUUGGUGCAUCGAUCCAGCUUCCGGACAUGUGAUCUUCUACCCUGCCCCACGGCAAGAAGAGUUUGGUGAUUUUGCUGCUCUGCUCUCUCAAGGGUGUUGCAGGCUGCGUAGCAGGGAGUGAAGCCCUUGUCGCUGCUCAUCAGACACUUUCCUACAGAAUUCUCCCUGCAGUGAUAAAAUUAGACUUGUGUUAGUGAGCUGCCAACUAGAGCAGGUAACAUUGGACAAGAAUGGUUUCUGAGCUGCUGUUCACUAGCACGUGUUUCCCCUUUCCAGCGCGGUGCCGCCGCCCAAGAAAGGAUUUUUGUGGGUCAGCCAGAUGUGCUCCUGCCUCCCACUGAGGCUCUGAGAUGGAGCCGAGUUUGCAUUCCAGUUUAUUGCAACAGAGGGUCACGGGAAAUUUCCUCAGCUAUCUCAGGCACAGAGCCAUGGAAGCAAGACAGCACGAAGACUGAACGUGUAAGAGGAUGUGGGGUGCAAUGGAGAACCUGGCAGGAGCAUCCGACGCACACGUGCACGAGUUUUGCUUUUUGCUUGGAUUGAAACUCAAAAGUUGUAAGGAAUUUGGGAAUGAGAUGGGACGUUUCAGAAGAAGAGGAAGGAGGAGAAGAAGUUGUUGUUACAGUGUUACAGUCCUGGCAAAAUCCUUUGUUCUAGCUAAUAAAAGAAGUUAGUUUAAAAAAAAAAAAAAAAAAAAAAAAAAAAAAAAAAAAAAAAAA